GGGCUUGUAGCUCAGUUUGGCUGGAGCGUUCGGCUGAUAACCGAAAGGUCGAGAGUUCAAAUCUCUCCAGGCCCA
Molecule: transfer RNA, 75 nt
Filed under: Acidobacteriota bacterium
Lineage: Bacteria; Pseudomonadati; Acidobacteriota
Also listed under: 5 other names
Description: tRNA-Ile
Rfam family: tRNA
About the family: Transfer RNA (tRNA) molecules are approximately 80 nucleotides in length.
Source: RNAcentral